GAAGCGGCAACAGCUCAGAUUUGAAAUCUGGCGUCUUCGGCGUCCGAGUUGUAAUCUGUAGAGGAUGCCUUUGGGUAGCCACCGGUCUAAGUCCCCUGGAACGGGGUGUCACAGAGGGUGAGAAUCCCGUAUGUGACCGGAAGGGCGCCCUAUACAUGGCUCCUUCGACGAGUCGAGUUGUUUGGGAAUGCAGCUCUAAAUGGGAGGUAAAUUCCUUCUAAAGCUAAAUACCGGCCAGAGACCGAUAGCGCACAAGUAGAGUGAUCGAAAGAUGAAAAGCACUUUGGAAAGAGAGUUAAAAAGCACGUGAAAUUGUUGAAAGGGAAGCGCUUGCAACCAGACUUGUUGGCGGUGUUCCGCCGGUCUUCUGACCGGUCUACUCACCGUCUGCAGGCCAGCAUCAUCUGGGACCGCUGGAUAAAAGCGGAGGGAAUGUGGCUCCUCCGGGAGUGUUAUAGCCCUCUGUGUAAUACAGCGAGUCCCGGGUGAGGUCCGCGCUUCGGCUAGGAUGCUGGCGUAAUGGUCGUAAGCGGCCCGUCUUGAAACACGGACCAAGGAGUCUAACAUCUAUGCGAGUGUUCGGGUGUCAAACCCCUACGCGUAAUGAAAGUGAACGGAGGUGGGAACCUUUUAGGUGCACCAUCGACCGAUCCUGAUGUCUUCGGAUGGAUUUGAGUAAGAGCAUAGCUGUUGGGACCCGAAAGAUGGUGAACUAUGCCUGGAUAGGGUGAAGCCAGAGGAAACUCUGGUGGA
Molecule: ribosomal RNA, 753 nt
Filed under: Microxiphium citri
Lineage: Eukaryota; Fungi; Ascomycota; Eurotiomycetes; Chaetothyriales; Coccodiniaceae
Description: eukaryotic LSU rRNA
Rfam family: Eukaryotic large subunit ribosomal RNA
Source: RNAcentral